GAAUGAACAAGGAUAUGCUUAGCUUGACAAAUGGAGCUAUUGGCUUUGAAUUGUAUUGUGGAAAUGUAUUACCAACAGAGGUGCAGGUGCCAGCCUAUUGAAAUAAAGCGUCAAUGAGGGUGAGAAUCCUGUUUGUCAUGUGCAGCCCUUUGUGCACGGUGUAUAUUUGCUGAGUCACACUCCUUGGCAUUGGAAUGCAAAGUGGGUGGUAAGUUUCAUGUAAAGGUAAACAUGCAAUUGAGACUGAUAGCACACAAGUACCAUGAGGGAAAUAUGAAAAGGACUUUGAAAAGAGAAUUAAAUGAGUUUGUAUUUGCUGAACACAAAGUAAACAGACUUGAUUUGCUUGGUGGGAGUGUUGCACUUGCUUGACAAGAGCUUUGGGCUGUGGGUGUAAUGAUUCUUUCUUUGCAUGCCAGUUUCUAUUUGUACAUCUGAUUACCUUUGCACAUGAAUGAUAAGUCUCCUGUGGGGGGUGGAUUGCAUGUGCAUGUAAUGAUUUGUGUUUUGAUAAAUGUGUCUGGUGUAUGUGUGUGUUCCUGUGCUUGGGGAUGCUUCCUUCCUUGGACUUACAAGCCCUGACACACACAUGCUGGCAAAAUGCUUCUGCUUGACCCGUCUUGAAACACGGACCAAGGAGUCUAACAGAUGUGCAAAGUUUGAAGGUGGUAUACCUUUGUGUGCAAUGAAAGUGUCAGCUGGGAUAUGUGCACCAGCACCCAAUUAAUUAGCGGACAGAGGUUUGAGUUGGAGCAUAUCUAUUAGGACCCGAAAGAUGGUGAACUAUGCCUGAACAGAAUGAAUUCAGAGGAAACUCUGAUGGAGGUUCGUAUCGAUACUGACGUGCAAAUCGUUCGUCAUAUUUGGGUAUAGGGGCGAAAGACUAAUCGAACCAUCUAGUAGCUGGUUCCCUCCGAAGUUUCCCUCAGGAUAGCUGGAGUUGCUCAGUUUUAUCAGGUAAAGCGAAUGAUUAGAGGAAUUGGGGACAGGUUUGUCUUUGACCUAUUCUCAAACUUUAAAUGGGUAAUAUGUAGUGGUUGCUGUAUGGAACUUCUAAGAUAAAUGGCAAUAUUGGGUGGGCCAUUUUUGGUAAGCAGAACUGGCGAUGAGGGAUGAACCUAAUGUGGGGCUAAGGUGCUUAAUUACUUGCUCAUUUGAUACCAGAAAGGGUGUUGGUUCAUUUUAACA
RNAcentral lists this ribosomal RNA (1188 nucleotides) under Alexandrium fundyense. Its description in RNAcentral is "eukaryotic LSU rRNA". It matches the Rfam family "Eukaryotic large subunit ribosomal RNA", at positions 91 to 1239 of the family's 3401-position model. Lineage: Eukaryota; Dinophyceae; Gonyaulacales; Pyrocystaceae. The record is from RNAcentral.